Molecule: long non-coding RNA, 396 nt
Filed under: Sinocyclocheilus anshuiensis
Lineage: Eukaryota; Metazoa; Chordata; Actinopteri; Cypriniformes; Cyprinidae
Description: lncRNA (ENSSANG00000018457.1)
Source: RNAcentral
UCUCUGUGAUCAAAGUCAGUUGUGCAUUUCAGAGCAGGGAGAGACUGUUAGCUCCAGCAGGCGUCGCUGCUGUGCUCUGGUUAACACUCCAGCACCAUGUGUGAACAAAGCAGUAUGUCAUAUCCAGGACCUGAAGCCCAAACUGGAAAACUGGGGCCAACAGGGUGAUAAUGCUCAGCAUGAAACUGCACAUGAAAACAACCACAGUGUCGUUUGGAAUGCCACAGAUGUCCUGAUGGAGGUGAUGAGUUUGAUCGAGCGUCUUGAGUUGGACCGCAGAGAGGCAGAGAAGGCUCUACUGGAAGAAAAGGAGAAAGCAAAGAAACUUUCAGAGAAAUUGCACAGCCUCCGUCUCUGGAAGCAGAAUGAGUUUCCUAUAGCAGUGCAGAAAGGUCA